GACGAACGCUGGCGGCGUGCUUAACACAUGCAAGUCGAACGGAAAGGCCCUGCUUUUGUGGGGUGCUCGAGGGGCGAACGGGUGAGUAACACGGGAGUAACCUGCCCUGGACUUUGGGAUAACUUCAGGAAACUGGGGCUAAUACCGGAUAGGAGCUCCUGCUGCAGGGUGGGGGUUGGAAAGUUUCGGCGGUUGGGGAUGGACUCGCGGCUUAUCAGCUUGUUGGUGGGGUAGUGGCUUACCAAGGCUUUGACAGGUAGCCGGCCUGAGAGGGUGACCGGCCACAUUGGUACUGAGAUACGGCCCAGACUCCUACGGGAGGCAGCAGUGGGGAAUAUUGCACAAUGGGCCGACGCCUGAUGCAGCAACGCCGCGUGCGGGAUGACGGCCUUCGGGUUGUAAACCGCUUUCGCCUGUGACGAAGCGUGAGUGACGGUAAUGGGUAAAGAAGCACCGGCUAACUACGUG
RNAcentral lists this ribosomal RNA (468 nucleotides) under uncultured bacterium. Its description in RNAcentral is "partial 16S ribosomal RNA". It matches the Rfam family "Bacterial small subunit ribosomal RNA", at positions 28 to 507 of the family's 1533-position model. The record is from RNAcentral.